GGACGGCAGCGGUGGGAAUAGCAGCAGCAGCAGCAGCAGCAACCGUGGCGGUGUUUCGCUUUGGUGUCUCCCCGGGAGAGGGGAGAGCCGGCACGCAGGGAAUUUGAACUCAGGUGGAAACUGGAGGUGGACAUACAGCAAUAUUGUGGCUUCUUUGCAAGGAAGACCUCAGCACCUUUCCCCCCAGCAAGGGCCAUCCUGAAGGGGGAUUUGGGUUUGGGGUGACUCAUCUGCAAGAGCAGCACAGUCUGUAAUUUUCCUCAGCUUUUAACAAGGCUGGGAAAACUUGCUGCACGCCAUUCUGGACUCUCCGACUCCAGAAAGAUGUCAACAAAGUGGAAGGCGAGCCUCCUGGCCUGCGAGGGACUCUCUGGUGUAUGCCUGGUGCCAACAGUUGCCAGCAAGAAGAUGAUGCCGAAACAAAGCUCUAAGCAGGUGGAGAACGGGGAGAGAGGGGGUGCGCCGGACAUGCUGGGUCAUCGCAAGGAGAGCGAGAAAUCACGUAGUCGGAAGGAAGAAGAAACAGCAGAAGGGUCUCCUCCUAAAAAAUCCCUUAAAAAGGUAAUGGUGAUAGAACAGAAUGGAUCCUUCCAGGUCCGGAUUCCCAAGAAUUUUAUUUGCGAGCACUGUUUUGGAGCAUUCCGGAGCAGUUACCACCUCAAGAGACAUAUCCUUAUUCAUACUGGAGAGAAGCCUUUUGAGUGUGACGUCUGCGACAUGCGCUUCAUCCAGAAAUACCAUCUGGAGCGCCACAAACGUGUCCACAGUGGAGAGAAGCCAUAUCAGUGUGAACGCUGCCUGCAGAGCUUCUCCAGGACAGACCGGUUGCUGAGACACAAACGAAUGUGCCAGGGCUGCCCCAGCAAAGCAUCUGACUCCCAGCUACUGCUUUAGGGUUGGGCCAUAGAAGAGGCUUUUAAGAAGUUGCUGGGAAGUCCACCAGAUGCUCUGGGAGUGGGCUUGUUCACCUGCUUGUGUUUUGUCCCCAAGUUUGCCUGCUGAGCCUAUCUCCUGUGGAAGCGGCAGAGCUGAGCGGGCACAGACUUCAACUUAUGGUCUUGACACUGUAAAUACAUGGAGGACAAAGCAGGGCUGGCUCCCAGCCAUUGGGAAGCUCACUGCAGUUGUGGAUAAACAUUGCCGGGGUGCGCUUUCUGUUUCUGUUUUAGGUCUUUUUUUUUUUCUUUUUUUUUUUUGAAAUUUGAAAUUAUCACCAUUUGCCUCAGGAAAGGCUUUGAAAAGCAUUGCGGGGCCUUCCGCGAGCCAUUCCGACCAGAUCCGGUGCUCUCCAUUAACAGACGAUCUGCCAGCUGGCCUGAUAUUUGGGCUUGCAAAAAAAAAAAAAAAAGUGGGAGAACAGGAGGCAAAUAUUUUAUGAGAAACAGUGAUCACCGCCAGUCAAGCAGUGAACUAUUUUGCGGAGCUGAUCCACACCAGGAACGGAUUAGCAGCGGCAGGAUACUGAGACCUGGGAUCACAGGAGUCUGUCUCAUUUAUGCUAGGCCGUGAGGCCUACGGGACAUUCCCCCCCCCCCUCCUUUCCAUGCUAUUCUCUUUAACAGUGAUUUGUGGUCUCGACUUUCAGGUUUCAAGAAACAAGGGCUGCAGAAGGUGACAAAUGCUUUUGGGUCAACCUAGAAGUCUACCUUAGAUGUGCUCCAUUUAUCAAGAUCCAGUUGAUAUUCAGCUGGCUGGAAGGCUCUGUUUUCCUCCCAGGAGAGGAGGAUACUUGUAUGUGGUCCCUUCUCUUUCCCUUGUAAAUAGCCAUCCAUUCAGGACUUACCUGUUACAUAUCUCUUCAAGCGGAAUCCAGAGCUUUCUUAGGGGGCAAUCCUGUUUUCCUAAAUACAUGAAAAGCCAGCUCUGGCCCAUGGGCACCUAUCUUCUAAACCUGAUGCUGAAGAACUACAGUCUCUGUGAGGGAGGGACUUCGGCCUCUUGAUAUGUUUCUUGGAAUAAAAUACUGGAGGACUGGAGGUCAGCAUUCCCAUGCACCAUGAAUUCUGAUUGCUCCUGGGCUGCUUCGUUGAAGUUUGAAAAAGAGGCUUGUUGCCAAUAUGCAAAUUUUUAUAUGUGCUAUUAUUUUAGCUUAGUUGCAACAGGCAGCAGCAAGUUUGCAAGGGAAAAAAAUGGGGGGGGGAAACCCUCCCAAGUCCCUUCUCCCUCACUAUCGCAUUUACAAUGGUCUUUCUAGAGGGCAAGUAAUAAUUUGUCUCGGAGUCUGGAAUUUACUUGUUAGGAACAAGCGCCUCCAUCUGAACUAUCAAUACAAAUGUCAUUUGUCCUUCAAAUACAUCCCUCCCUGAGUUAACUUCUGAGUUCGCCAUAAGCACCUUGCUUUAAGCCAGGUUUUAACCAAGGGCUGUGUUGGUAGAGAAAUGAUGGUCUUUGUUUGGUCAUGCUGGAGAGGUUCGUUCUUGAGGGGCUGCAUUUCUGCCUAUGCAACUAGAAAGGUUUGAUAAACAGAGAUGGGAUACUUUAGAUGAGUGCUUUUCAAACUUGACAACUUUAAAAGGUGUGAGCUUCUUAACUCCCAGAUGUGUGGCUGGGAAAUUCUGGGAGCUGAUCUUAAAAAUUGCCAAAUUUGAAAAAAAAUCUGCUUUAGUUCAAGAUUGUUGCGCCCCCCCCCCCCUUCAACCAUUUAAGAGGUUCCAAUGUACUAGCAAAAGGCAUUGUUCUUUUGAUCAUCUUUCUUCUUGCUGCCUAGGGAUCAUGGGAGUUGUAGUCCAACAAAUCUGAAAUACAUUAGCUUGGGGAAUGUUACUGUAGAGGAGAUUUUUUUUUUAAUAAAAGAGCUCUUUAAUUUCCUUCCCCUUGUUCAUCAGAAUACGCAGGUUUAUUCCCAGCCUUGUUAACAUUUCUAAAAUUAACACCAACUUCUAGUCUGCAGUUUAUGGGAAUGAUUAGGACACCCAAAACUCUAGGAGGUUUGUUGCAAUUUUAGUGGGGCUGAUAAAAAUUAAAAUGGCUACUCUUUAGAAAGAACAUACCACCAUAAUGUAUUUCAGUUUACCAAGGACUGUUUUCCCCCAAAAGGAAAUAAAAUAAUUGCUGUAGGAAAAAGCUUGAGGAAAUGUAGAUAUUUGUGGGGGAGGGAAGGGAAAGGAAAUUGGAAUGUAACUGUUUCAGGGGGAAAUAGCAAUGUGCUCAGGUGGGAAAAGAAAACUUGCUUGAGUAGAAGAAAUCUCUUUAUCAAGUACUAGAUGUUUUUCUGUCCUUCCGGACUUAAUCUAAUAAUUGAGACAUGGCACUACAAAGCAUAUUCACAGUUGCCUAGUAUUUCCCCAAGAGGUAAGGUGAAUCUCUUGAGCGAACUGCCUCAUACUGCCGGAUUCUUUAUGUGCCAAGCAGAGUAAUGACUCUAUGCUGUUUUGAUUCCUUCAGGCAGGGGUGUCAAACUGGUGGCCUGCGGGCCAGAUGCAUCACGUGCUGGCUACACCCACCCCAGCUCCACGAACGGGAAAAAUGUCACGAAACGUCACGUGACGGCAACGUGAUGCAGCGAGUUGGAGACCCCUGCUCUAAAAAAUGUGCAGCUUUAGGAGCACAGGGAUGUGUUUUGCUUAGGCUCUGCAUCUUGCUAGGGUGCUGCCAUAGAGACUCAGGAGGCUAAUUAACACUAUGUACUCUGGGAGAGGAAUUCUAUAAGCUGCUGCACACUCUACACCAGCGCAGUCAUUUAUCAAUAACCUAGAUAGGCAUUAAUUGGUGUCUGCCAAUUUUGUUAUCCAGCUCUUUUUCCCUGCUUAGGAGUGAAGGAAGACAAAUGUUAACCUCAAAAACAAGUUGCGUAUGACUUUCAUUGCUGAAUUUUGCUCAGAAGUGGACUAUAGUGUUGAAAGAACAGGAUGGGGGAGAAGGCAGAAAGAGCAACCAUAACAAUUCAGUGAUUAAUAAUUGGACAAAAUAAUAGGGUUCAAGCAUUUUUUGUUGUUAAAUAAUCACCUGCAGGCAGUACAUUAGCAAAACGAGGGGGGGGGAUAGUUUUUUGUGGGAGGAGGUUUUAUUUAAACAAAUCGCUUGGCCCACCCCAAUGAAAUUGAUAGCAUCUAUUAACUGCUGCUGGUUCAUCCCAACUAGAAAUUUUAUGCAGUGGGUAUAAUUGCACUAAGAUCUUUGCAUUUUUUUUUCUUGACAGAGAUAAAAUUGAAAGGAAGUGAAACUUGUCUGGAAGUUUCACUGGUUGCCACUCUUUAAAGUGCAAGGGACCAAAACCAUUUCAGAAUGUAAUUUGUUUUGUUCAAAUAAAAUUAUGCAGAGGCAGUGAGGUGAAAAGAGGACUAAUUUGCUGAAGGUUCAAGAAAGUGAGACUUAGAUUUUAGGUAAAAACAAUGUACUGUUUUAAAAUAUUCACCGUUUUAAAAUAUUCACUGUUUUAAAAUAUUUAGUAGCAGAACAGUGAAUGGGAUUGCAGCAAAGAGUUGGAUGAAUUGGAUGGCUUGGCAAAUCCAGGUAGCAGCAGACUGGAAAAUGGGUUUUGCAUAAAAACGUUAAGUGUACUUCCUUUGCAGGAAUAUAGAGAUACACAAUUUUACCAACACUGUCUAUGGUAAUGCCUCUCCUGGAGAUAGAGAAACCAGUCUUUAGAGAGUAUGUGUGACAAUUUUUCCCUGUAUCUUUGUCCAACCUGAAUAUGUUGCUUAUUAUACAUGUGACCCACAGGAGGUAUUCAAGUCCAGACCUCUGUAAUUCUAACAGAUACGGUCUUGUGUGUGUGGAACAUGGCAGUGUAUGCAAGCCAACCUGUGUGAAAGUCAGGUGGACUGGAACCUUCGUGUACCUUGAGGAGUGCCUGUAUUUGUGUUGCCCUAAAGGGCAGCCAGGGACACGUUUUUGAAGGCGCUUUAUUUCCCUAUGUCCUCCAUCUUACUGCCUUUCCUCCAUGGAAGUGAGAAAUCCCAUUUUGACAAUGGAUGCCAUUGGGAGCUGUUGCUAUUCCCAUUCCUUUUCCUGGGUGCUGGUAGCAGAAGGACAAAUCGUGCUUGUCACAUGGAUCAGGUGCCUUAAGGUGCUUUCCAAUGUGGUGCUGCUGGUCUUAAUUUAGGAGUUUGUUCAAAUAAGAAGGAAACGUAAAGGACCUUUUCUUGCAGUUCAUAUUUGGCUUUUACAUAGACCUCCUGAAAGGAAAACAAUCUAGCACUUCAGCCUGACCAGAUAGCCUCUGGACUUAAUGUGAAGGUCCAAUAGCUUUUUCUAAGAUAAUUUAUUUUCCUUCCCUUUAACUCACUGGUUUUGCAGGGAAGGGAAUUGGGGCAGGGGUGUGUUACCCAAGGACAGGAUCACUUUUAAAUUGUAGUUUUUAUAAGAUGCUAUAAACUUGUAUCUUUUUACCA
Pantherophis guttatus is the source of this 5333-nucleotide non-coding RNA. The record is from RefSeq and is a predicted model, not a curated record. Lineage: Eukaryota; Metazoa; Chordata; Lepidosauria; Squamata; Colubridae.